Neoarius graeffei (lesser salmon catfish) is the source of this 2756-nucleotide RNA transcript. It is a transcript of the gene named corticotropin releasing hormone receptor 1, with no coding region annotated. The record is from RefSeq and is a predicted model, not a curated record. The transcript has 15 exons. NCBI's taxonomy places the organism in Eukaryota, Metazoa, Chordata, Actinopteri, Siluriformes, Ariidae.
GAGCUUUUUUAUUUUAAGAAGAAGAAGAAGAAAAGAAGAGAACGUGGGUGAGAGGAAGCUGGUGCAUGGGAAGGAAAAGUUCAUUCUGUUGCUGCAGGAUUUAAAAAAAAUAAAAUAAAAACCAAAACUAAUCAACACAUUAUUUCUUCAUGGGGCAUCGAACUGUGCAGGACAGACCUGAGUGCCCGAGCACACAUCCUCUCUGCAUGGACAGUCACUAAGGACUUGGAGACAUUCAUUGCGCGCGAGAUCAGGGAUUCCCUUACAACCUUAGGGACGACCAGUGAAGUGAAGAAAGACCAGGACGCACGCAUGCUUUCUUUGAUCAGACAGCUCCUCCAGGUUCCUCUCUGCGUUCCUGCAGGCGUGAGACAUCGAGGAGACAUUUCAACGACCAUGCAUUUCCUCCUGCGUCCUCAGAUGUUUUCCAUCUGGAUCACACUAUUUUCUGGGGCUACAGCUGAGCUCACAUGUGACACUCUGCUCCUGCUCUCCACCAACCUCACAGCCCGCACCUUAAUACUAUGGAAUCAGACAGCAAGCUCAAGUAAUACCACAGGUUUAUUCUGUAAUAUAUCUAUAGAUGGCAUUGGGACGUGUUGGCCCAGGAGCAGCGCAGGGGAAAUAGUAGCACGUCCGUGUCCUGAGACCUUCUUGGGUGUCCGCUACAACACCACCAAUAACGUCUACAGAGAAUGUCUUGCCAAUGGAACUUGGGCGAAGAAGGGGAAUUAUUCUCAGUGUCAGGAAAUUCUCAAUGAAGAGAAAAAGAGCAAGCUGCACUACCAGAUUGCCGUGAUUAUAAACUACCUAGGCCACUGCAUCUCUCUCGGAGCCCUGCUGGUUGCCUUCAUUCUCUUUCUGAGGCUGAGGAGCAUCCGCUGCCUGAGGAACAUCAUUCACUGGAAUCUGAUUACAGCUUUCAUCCUACGCAAUGCUACAUGGUUCGUCGUGCAGCUGACCAUGAACCCAGAGGUGCAUGAGAGCAAUGUGAUCUGGUGCAGGCUGGUUACAGCAGCGUAUAAUUACUUUCAUGUGACCAACUUUUUCUGGAUGUUUGGUGAGGGCUGCUAUCUGCACACAGCCAUCGUGCUCACUUACUCCACCGAUAAGCUCAGGAAGUGGAUGUUCAUCUGUAUCGGCUGGUGUAUCCCCUUUCCUAUCAUCGUUGCAUGGGCCAUUGGUAAGCUGUAUUACGACAAUGAAAAGUGCUGGUUUGGAAAACGAGCUGGCGUUUAUACCGACUACAUCUACCAGGGCCCCAUGAUUCUUGUUCUUCUGAUCAACUUUAUUUUCCUUUUCAACAUUGUGAGGAUUCUGAUGACAAAACUAAGAGCCUCUACCACAUCAGAGACUAUUCAGUACAGGAAAGCAGUGAAGGCCACUCUGGUCCUGCUGCCUCUCCUCGGCAUCACCUACAUGCUUUUCUUUGUCAACCCUGGAGAGGACGAGAUCUCCCAAAUCGUCUUCAUCUAUUUCAAUUCUUUCCUGGAGUCCUUUCAAGGUUUCUUCGUGUCAGUGUUUUAUUGCUUCCUGAACAGUGAAGUCCGUUCUGCUGUUCGGAAGCGCUGGCACCGUUGGCAGGACAAGCACUCAAUCCGGGCACGGGUGGCACGGGCCAUGUCCAUUCCCACCUCACCCACUCGGGUCAGCUUCCACAGCAUCAAGCAGUCAUCCGCUGUCUGAUCUUGAUCUCGAGCACCAAAACUUUCCUUUUAGUGCACUCCCCCUACCAUCCAUUGCUAAGCAACUCCAGGGAACAGCUGCAGUCGAAACAGGGCACUGAAAAAGAAAGCUGAAUCAGGAUUCCUUUCAUUGGCUCGAGAUUAUUAACACAAAGCUGCUACAUUCUCUGAUUAUCCGAUCCUAAUGUCUGGAUGUGAAAGACAUUGAAGGGCAUCGCAGGUUCUUGUUCAGUAUCACAUCUAAGCCUUCUUUUUUUUUUUAUUGAUAGCCUUGUAAUGACAGAAAUCUACUGAUUAUAAAUGAAACUGUAAAAACUAUGUAUCCUGCUUGCAUAAAGCCAAAGUCAUAGUACUCAUCCUAAAUCUUAGAAAAGUAGUAAUGGUUGUAUAAAUAGCCCCUUAUUCAAAGCUUUGAGCUGUUUUGAUUUUUUUAAAAAUGUCCUUAACUUUUUUACCUUUUAAAUUUCCUCACUUUUUGAGAAAGGAAAGCCAACAGGAAGUACUAUAACACUCCGAAUUGCAUCGAAAUUCAUGAUCUGACGAUUCCACCAGCACACCCAGUAUGGACUCAGUUCUAGUCAUAUGUGAAACAAAGAAGUGUACGUUUUUUUAAUAUAUCCAUCAAUAUCACGUCCCUAUAUUGUAACCACUUCAAUACAAUGCAAAAGAUAUAAAUAUAUAUGUGUAUGUAUAUUUGUAUGUAUUGUAGUUCAGUAGAACUCCCAUUUACGAUAGGGUCAGUGUCUGUAUCAGAUUUGUUGGCCGUAGUCCUGUAGACUAUAUUGAGCUUUUUGCAGAAUUAUUUUGUUUUCUUUCUAAACCGUGGAAUGCUUGAUCAUCAUAGGAUCACAUAUAAAGUGUAAACACUUUAUGAAUUCUGUUCUGACCUUUAUUUCCAUAAAAAAGUCAAAGCUGCUGCCUUUUUGUUUUGUUUUUUUCCCCAUUUGGUUCUUCUGCUCGCGUCUGCAGUAGACAUGAACUGUACAGGGCCUAGACCGAGUUGUAUCUUUUAAUGUCCUAAUGUGUGUCUGUUUUUUUGUUUGUUUGGUUCUUUUUUCAUCAAUGUUGUGA